GCCUUCGUGGUGUAGUGGUCAGCAUGCUCGACGCGUAAGCAAGUGGUCCGUGGUUCGAUUCCAAGCGAAGACG
Molecule: transfer RNA, 73 nt
Filed under: Stegodyphus mimosarum
Lineage: Eukaryota; Metazoa; Arthropoda; Arachnida; Araneae; Eresidae
Rfam family: tRNA
About the family: Transfer RNA (tRNA) molecules are approximately 80 nucleotides in length. Their secondary structure includes four short double-helical elements and three loops (D, anti-codon, and T loops).
Source: Rfam by way of RNAcentral